Long non-coding RNA from Gastrolobium bilobum, 780 nucleotides. RefSeq lists it as uncharacterized. The record is from RefSeq and is a predicted model, not a curated record. The transcript is spliced from 3 exons. Lineage: Eukaryota; Viridiplantae; Streptophyta; Magnoliopsida; Fabales; Fabaceae.
GGAUUGAGACAUUUGGACCAACCGUGAGUGAUCAAUCAUUGGAGCAAGCUAUGGAGCUUGAAUAGCUCAUUGGAAUUGGUGUAUAUUUGUAAAAGUGGAUUGCUGAAACUGUUGGUGAAGAACAAAGGUCGACUGAAGCAUUGAGGUAAGGAUGCUGCAGGAGCCUCUGGUGGCAAGUGGCCAUAUCUGGAUUAUGCAUGAAAUGUGGCAUUCCUUUUGAGUUUAUGCAUGCCUUUGUAGUUGACAUGUAUAGGAAUUUAUUUUCAAAGCCUUUGGUCAUUUGUAUAUCUUGAUUCAUUGGAUGAACUUAGCCUAUGCUCAUGCCUUUGGUUACACCUUUUGUUGAUGGGAGCCAAGGGAAUGAUCAUAGUGUUUUGUAAGCUAAGUUCUAUGAUUUGUAAAUGAUAUGUAAUGUAAAUGAUGCCUACUUGAAAUUCAAUAUAUGCAUGCUUGUUAUGUAUUGAGUUGUUGAAUUGGUUGGGCUGAAAAUCAAUUAGGUACCCUUUGUUUAAAUUGGUAAACGAUGAGAAAACAAAGGUCAUGCUGCCCAAAUUCUAGCUAAAUCUCAUGAGGAGAGGUUGGAUGUGUGCUAGGAUUUAGUUUUGGGGCAUGGACAAUUGGGGUUUGGAAUGGGGAUGCAUCUUCCCCUAGGCUUGGACUUGAAAAAUGUGGGAAUUGGAAUUCCCUGGCAGCGCGCUUAAGCGCCCAGGAGCGCGCCCAAGCGCCCUGCUGCCCCUCCGUGUGCCAAUGCAUUCUGCCUCCUCGCGCUGGAGCGCCCAA